GCCAGUAUCGCAUAGCGGCAAUUGCGGGAGACUGUAAAUCUCUUCCUUCGGGUUCCUGGGUUCGAGUCCCAGUGCUGGCAC
This 81-nucleotide transfer RNA is filed under the name compost metagenome. RNAcentral's name for it is "tRNA-Tyr". It matches the Rfam family "tRNA". From Rfam's summary of the family: Transfer RNA (tRNA) molecules are approximately 80 nucleotides in length. Their secondary structure includes four short double-helical elements and three loops (D, anti-codon, and T loops). Further hydrogen bonds mediate the characteristic L-shaped molecular structure. tRNAs have two regions of fundamental functional importance: the anti-codon, which is responsible for specific mRNA codon recognition, and the 3' end, to which the tRNAs corresponding amino acid is attached (by aminoacyl-tRNA synthetases). tRNAs cope with the degeneracy of the genetic code in two manners: having more than one tRNA (with a specific anti-codon) for a particular amino acid; and 'wobble' base-pairing, i.e. permitting non-standard base-pairing at the 3rd anti-codon position. The record is from RNAcentral.